RNAcentral lists this ribosomal RNA (440 nucleotides) under uncultured bacterium. RNAcentral describes it as "partial 16S ribosomal RNA". It matches the Rfam family "Bacterial small subunit ribosomal RNA", at positions 338 to 795 of the family's 1533-position model. The record is from RNAcentral.
CCUACGGGUGGCUGCAGUGGGGAAUAUUGGACAAUGGGCGCAAGCCUGAUCCAGCCAUGCCGCGUGAGUGAUGAAGGCCCUAGGGUUGUAAAGCUCUUUCGCCAGGGACGAUAAUGACGGUACCUGGAUAAGAAGCCCCGGCUAACUUCGUGCCAGCAGCCGCGGUAAUACGAAGGGGGCUAGCGUUGUUCGGAAUCACUGGGCGUAAAGCGCACGUAGGCGGAUUUUUAAGUCAGGGGUGAAAUCCCGAGGAUCAACCUCGGAACGGCCGUUGAUACGGGGAGUCUAGAGUCCGGGAGAGGGGAGUGGAACUGCGAGUGUAGAGGUGAAAGUCGUAGAGAUUCGCAAGAACACCAGUGGCGAAGGCGGCUCACGGGCCCGGAACUGACGCUGAGGUGCGAAAGCGUGGGGAGCAAACAGGAUUAGAUACCCUUGUAGUC